This 73-nucleotide transfer RNA is filed under the name Trialeurodes vaporariorum (greenhouse whitefly). RNAcentral's name for it is "tRNA-Gly for anticodon GCC". It matches the Rfam family "tRNA". Rfam says of the family: Transfer RNA (tRNA) molecules are approximately 80 nucleotides in length. Their secondary structure includes four short double-helical elements and three loops (D, anti-codon, and T loops). The record is from RNAcentral. Lineage: Eukaryota; Metazoa; Arthropoda; Insecta; Hemiptera; Aleyrodidae.
ACCUCGGUCGUUUGGUGGUCAGAACACCUGACUGCCAAUCCAUAGGUCCCGGGUUUGAACCCCGGUAGAGGUA